RNAcentral lists this ribosomal RNA (468 nucleotides) under uncultured bacterium. RNAcentral's name for it is "partial 16S ribosomal RNA". It matches the Rfam family "Bacterial small subunit ribosomal RNA", at positions 28 to 507 of the family's 1533-position model. The record is from RNAcentral.
GACGAACGCUGGCGGCGUGCUUAACACAUGCAAGUCGAACGGAAAGGCCCUGCUUUUGUGGGGUGCUCGAGUGGCGAACGGGUGAGUAACACGUGAGUAACCUGCCCUUGACUUUGGGAUAACUUCAGGAAACUGGGGCUAAUACCGGAUAGGAGCUCCUGCUGCAUGGUGGGGGUUGGAAAGGUUCGGCGGUUGGGGAUGGACUCGCGGCUUAUCAGCUUGUUGGUGGGGUAGUGGCUUACCAAGGCUUUGACGGGUAGCCGGCCUGAGAGGGUGACCGGCCACAUUGGGACUGAGAUACGGCCCAGACUCCUACGGGAGGCAGCAGUGGGGAAUAUUGCACAAUGGGCGGAAGCCUGAUACAGCAACGCCGCGUGCGGGAUGACGGCCUUCGGGUUGUAAACCGCUUUCGCCUGUGACGAAGCGUGAGUGACGGUAAUGGGUAAAGAAGCACCGGCUAACUACGUG